ACUAUGCUUAGCCCUAAACAUCGAUAGCGCACUACACCUGCUAUCCGCCUGGGAACUACGAGCAUCAGCUUGAAACCCAAAGGACUUGGCGGUGCUUUAGAUCCAU
Molecule: ribosomal RNA, 106 nt
Filed under: Ammodytes marinus (lesser sand-eel)
Lineage: Eukaryota; Metazoa; Chordata; Actinopteri; Uranoscopiformes; Ammodytidae
Description: partial 12S ribosomal RNA
Source: RNAcentral